Long non-coding RNA from Herpailurus yagouaroundi (jaguarundi), 367 nucleotides. RefSeq lists it as uncharacterized. The record is from RefSeq and is a predicted model, not a curated record. The transcript is spliced from 2 exons. Lineage: Eukaryota; Metazoa; Chordata; Mammalia; Carnivora; Felidae.
CCUGAAUUUUACCAUGUACCAGCUGGGACUUGGCAAAGGAUAUCUCUGGGAAACUUCAGGCCGGAUUUGAUAAUCAGCCCCUCCCCUGCAGACCAGACAUGGAUGGAAAACCUUCCUGCCAAACCCCUUGUUCUUCAAGCAACAUACCUGCGUCUGGGGGAGACAUGAUUUACUCGGGGUCAGACACGGCCACGAUGACCAGGAAAGGGAGAUGGCUCCUCAGCAACUGUUGACCAGACCAGGGCUGUGACAAUGACCUCGGCCAAGCACAAGCAUCCCCCACUCCCUCCACCACCCUCAGAGAGAGUGUUUUUAAAGAAUUUGUUAUUUUAGAUUUCCAAAAGAGCAUUAAAAAUUCAGAACUACA